UAAUGUCUGGGAAACUGCCUGAUGGAGGGGGAUAACUACUGGAAACGGUAGCUAAUACCGCAUAAUGUCGCAAGACCAAAGUGGGGGACCUUCGGGCCUCAUGCCAUCAGAUGUGCCCAGAUGGGAUUAGCUAGUAGGUGGGGUAACGGCUCACCUAGGCGACGAUCCCUAGCUGGUCUGAGAGGAUGCCAGCCACACUGGAACUGAGACACGGUCCAG
Molecule: ribosomal RNA, 219 nt
Filed under: uncultured bacterium
Lineage: Bacteria
Description: partial 16S ribosomal RNA
Rfam family: Bacterial small subunit ribosomal RNA
Source: RNAcentral